UAAAUGUUUGAAAAUGAUAAUAACAUAAAUGUUUAAAAAGAACUUUCUCUCAUUGCCGUAACAAGAAUCUACAGGUCGAGCAAGUCUCGUAAAUUUCACGAUUGCGAGCCACGCUUCACGCAACCGUGUUUGCGUACUUGUGUUUCGAGUUGCGUGGUCGUGCGGAGUUGUCAAAAUUAAAUCAAUAUGUCAAUAUGGCUACUGGGUGUAAAAGAUACAUCUUAUUCUAUCUGUUCUUAAUGAGUUUUAGAUAAUUUUAGUUGUAUUUCUUUGUAAUUUUGUGUUGUACAAAGAUUAAUUUAACAUUUUCUCUGGAAGUAUUAAUUUAGAAAGAUAAUAUGCUUCAUUGGUGUUGUGUUUUGAAGUGUGAAAUGCAAAGUAAUUGUGAUAAAGUUCACUUUUAAACUGAACUAAAUAAGGUAUCUGAGAGACAACAAUGGUUAAAUGCAAUACAAUGUACAGGUUUUACUAGCGAAAUGAAAAUUUUCCUGUCCUGUCUGCUGUAAUCAUUUUAUAUCUGGAAAACCAGCCGACUUAAUCGAUAAUAACAAUCUCCAGAUUGGGUUCCUUCAAUAAAUAUGGGCUAUAAACACAAUGAAAUAAGUUCCCCAAAAUCUAAAAUGGAGUGGUAUCAAAGGAGAAUUAAAGGAAAAAAUAUUCAUAUUGAAAUUAUUUAUAAGGCACUGGACUGUCUUAAAUUCUACAGUAAUACUAGAAUCAGCUGAGAGAAGUGGUCUACAAAAAACCAGGAAGGAAACGGAAUAUGUGGCUACGAAAGGCAAAAGAAAGGUUUACAAAGCAAAUGUGACACAUUUUUUUGAAAUAUUUAGGAAUAUCAGUAAAUUGCAUUAAAAAAAUGUAUGAAAAGAUUUUGUUCAAUAAAAAUGUUUAUAUUUA
Molecule: long non-coding RNA, 897 nt
Organism: Diabrotica virgifera virgifera (western corn rootworm)
Lineage: Eukaryota; Metazoa; Arthropoda; Insecta; Coleoptera; Chrysomelidae
Exons: 3
Source: RefSeq, a predicted model, not a curated record